GCUUGGCUCAGAACUUCUCCUUGCUGCUUCCGUGUAAAGAAGGAUGUGUUUGCUUCUCCUUCCACCAUGAUUGCUGUUCUGAUCAUGAUCAAGCCCAAGACAGAGCGAUGGGCGUGGCUUCCCCAAAGGUGUUUAUGAAUCCAAAAUCUGAGAGAGAGAAGACAAGAUGAAGUCACAGUCUAGUCAUUGCCUCAACACCAGUCAUUCCUACUCCCACCCAGACAACAUCAUCUCCACUCCCAAGCCCGAAAUGCUCCCUGCCAUGCCUUCGAGGCUGAGGUCUGGGAAGAAAACUCUAAGAAGAGAGAAAAGGGCACCAGUAUGGAGACCCUAGAAUAUAAAAAGCAGACUUAGCCUGUCUAACCUGUUCCUUGACUUGGCCAUGAUCCCAGGAAUGGAGGAAGGAUCUUCCUUUUCUUCCUCCUCCUGGAGAGGCAUCAGAGCAUGGGCCCUGGCUCUGUUACUCCCUGGCUGGGGAAGUUACUUACCUACUCCGUGUCUCAGUUUUACUUAUCUCUAAAAGGGGUAGAGUAACAGCACUCACUGGAGUGGAGUGUGGUUAUGCCUCCCAGCCUCUCCUUCAGAACUAGGUUACUUAUUCCCUCAGCUGCAAGGAGUGUUAGCUGCGGACUGCUCACAACGGAGUCUCUUCUAGGGAUUGCCCUCAACCGAAGGAAGCUGCAUUGCCCAAGAUGAGAUCCCCUCGCUGGGGCAUCCUGCAUCCAAUGACAAGUCAGUGGGGCGUACGAAGGCCUGGCUUCCUCAUCUCGAUUGGACAUCUCCAAAGGGCCAUCCCAGUUUCUGAUCUCCCCGUAGAAUCUCCUGAAGCCUCUGUUGUGACUGCAUCAGAGCCCAACCUCUCUCUCUACCCAAUCCAGUCUCCUUUCCUUCUCACAGGUGUUGUUCCCAAAACUCAGUAAACUGCCUACACGCAAA
Molecule: long non-coding RNA, 936 nt
Organism: Homo sapiens (human)
Lineage: Eukaryota; Metazoa; Chordata; Mammalia; Primates; Hominidae
Source: Ensembl